CGGUCCAGACUCCUACGGGAGGCAGCAGUGGGGAAUAUUGCACAAUGGGGGAAACCCUGAUGCAGCCAUGCCGCGUGUGUGAAGAAGGCCUUCGGGUUGUAAAGCACUUUCAGCGAGGAGGAAAGGUCAGUAGCUAAUAUCUGCUGGCUGUGACGUUACUCGCAGAAGAAGCACCGGCUAACUCCGUGCCAGCAGCCGCGGUAAUACGGAGGGUGCAAGCGUUAAUCGGAAUUACUGGGCGUAAAGCGCACGCAGGCGGUUGGAUAAGUUAGAU
This 274-nucleotide ribosomal RNA is filed under the name Aeromonas caviae. RNAcentral describes it as "partial 16S ribosomal RNA". It matches the Rfam family "Bacterial small subunit ribosomal RNA", at positions 327 to 593 of the family's 1533-position model. The record is from RNAcentral. Lineage: Bacteria; Pseudomonadati; Pseudomonadota; Gammaproteobacteria; Aeromonadales; Aeromonadaceae.